UUUAAAGGUUGACCUCGAAUCAGGUAGGGAUACCCGCUGAACUUAAGCAUA
Molecule: ribosomal RNA, 51 nt
Filed under: Golovinomyces orontii
Lineage: Eukaryota; Fungi; Ascomycota; Leotiomycetes; Helotiales; Erysiphaceae
Description: partial 28S ribosomal RNA
Source: RNAcentral